This 200-nucleotide small RNA is filed under the name Pan troglodytes (chimpanzee). Its description in RNAcentral is "processed transcript". Lineage: Eukaryota; Metazoa; Chordata; Mammalia; Primates; Hominidae. The record is from RNAcentral.
UUUGCCAAAGGAGUCGGGCCUGACGGUGGAAGAUGGGAAAUGGCCAAAAGAAUAAACCAUUUCCUCUUACUUACCGAAUGAAAAGCUUGCCUCAUCUUGGCGUUCAAGACUCUCUAAUAUGAUUCCACCUGUUGGGCUCUUUCUUCCAUUUGCCUCCGCAGAUAGUGUCUGCCUUCUGGAGAGCUGACCAAACACUAAGG